GACGAACGCUGGCGGCGUGCUUAACACAUGCCAGUCGAACGAAAAGAGGGAAAGAGCUUGCUCUUUCCGGAAUUGAGUGGCAAACGGGUGAGUAACACGUAAACAACCUGCCUUCAGGAUGGGGACAACAGACGGAAACGACUGCUAAUACCGAAUAAGUUCCAAGGGCCGCAUGGCCCAUGGAAGAAAAGGUGGCCUCUACCUGUAAGCUAUCGCCUGAAGAGGGGUUUGCGUCUGAUUAGCUGGUUGGAGGGGUAACGGCCCACCAAGGCGACGAUCAGUAGCCGGUCUGCGAGGAUGAACGGCCACACUGGAACUGAGACACGGUCCAGACUCCUACGGGAGGCAGCAGUGGGGAAUCUUCCGCAAUGGGCGAAAGCCUGACGGAGCAACGCCGCGUGAGUGAUGACGGCCUUCGGGUUGUAAAACUCUGUGAUCCGGGACGAAAAGGCAGAGUGCGAAGAACAAACUGCAUUGACGGUACCGGAAAAGCAAGCCACGGCUAACUACGUG
Molecule: ribosomal RNA, 513 nt
Filed under: uncultured bacterium
Lineage: Bacteria
Description: partial 16S ribosomal RNA
Rfam family: Bacterial small subunit ribosomal RNA
Source: RNAcentral